This 758-nucleotide unclassified non-coding RNA is filed under the name Hevea brasiliensis (rubber tree). Lineage: Eukaryota; Viridiplantae; Streptophyta; Magnoliopsida; Malpighiales; Euphorbiaceae. The record is from RNAcentral.
AAAAGAAGUUGCAGCAAAAGUCAAUGUGGACUCUUCACAAGGUCAUGGAAUUCAGAGGGUCUUGCAAGGUCAAGAGCUCCCGACCUUGAGAAGCAGUCUUAUGGAGAGCAAUGAGUCUGAUACUGCUCACAAGCCAAUCAGGUGGUCUUCGUCACGUGAUCAGGAGAAAAAUGAUGGUUCUCAGCGAAGAGUUGGAGCCGAGAAUUGGAUACGUGUGCCGAGGCAUGAACAUUCCUACAUGGAAAUGUUAUCUGGAUCUCAGGCUCCAAGUAGUACACCUGGUUUCCGGGACACUAUCGUGAAAGCUCAUUUCCAAGACCAGGAAGGCAAGCUAAAUUUACUGCCCGGCUCGUGGUCUUUGAUGCCUGCUGUCCCGCCCUUCCACAUGGAAUCGAACCUGAAAAUUCGUACACAUGCUAGCGAGAUAACAUAUCAGAACAUUGAUAAUGUUCGACGCCAUGGUUUGGGAGAUUAUUCUUUGACACAAGGUAUUGGGAUCGAGCAGCAUCGGCCGAGCUGGCUAUCACACUUGCUGCCAACUUCUUCACAAACUGCAAUGGCAAAACCUAAGGGAAACAGUAACUGCAAGCUCUUUGGAAUUCAGCUUGAUGUCAACCCGGCAACUGCUGAGCCAGCACAGGCAAAUAUAGCAUGUGAGUCCGGGUCACACAGUCAGCCAGCAGUAGCAUCAUACCAAUCACAUGCCCUAGAGGCCGAUCCACAGCCUGAACCUCACAAAUGCAUGCUAUCGGUUGAUA